This 23-nucleotide unclassified non-coding RNA is filed under the name Mus musculus (house mouse). Its description in RNAcentral is "oocyte_clustered_small_RNA7748". Lineage: Eukaryota; Metazoa; Chordata; Mammalia; Rodentia; Muridae. The record is from RNAcentral.
CAGUAGCCAGCACCACCCUGCAA